RNAcentral lists this long non-coding RNA (360 nucleotides) under Elaeis guineensis (African oil palm). Its description in RNAcentral is "long non-coding RNA (EGUI_LNC054047)". The record is from RNAcentral. Lineage: Eukaryota; Viridiplantae; Streptophyta; Magnoliopsida; Arecales; Arecaceae.
GGUUCUUUUACUUUUAUUGGGUUCUGAGCCUUGGUGUUAGAAAAGAGGAAGACGCAAGAUGGUGAAAAGCUGCAGCAGAGGAAAGUGGGCGUGAAGGAAAAUCAUGGACUCAGGCAUCCGCUACCGGGCCAAAGAUGGGGAUUUGUGGGGUCGGUUGGCUUUCCUCUUUUUUCGCUUUUUAGUGACAUACGGUUCUGUGGACGGAGAUAGAAAAUUAUUAGAUUAGGUUGAUUUAAUAUAUAUUUUUAAAAUUUUUAAAUUUAUAGUAAAACUAAAAAUUUAGAUUAAAUAUUUUAAUCUUUACAUACGGUUGCUGUUCGAUUUAGUAGAGAUCGGAGAGAUGGUGACUGAGCCUCGUGC